Molecule: long non-coding RNA, 860 nt
Filed under: Androctonus crassicauda
Lineage: Eukaryota; Metazoa; Arthropoda; Arachnida; Scorpiones; Buthidae
Source: RNAcentral
UAUCCAGAAACAGUUAGUUUCUAUUAUUUGAACACAAUUGUUGAGUCAUUAUAUUGUCGGAUAUAAAGUAAAAAUUCGACAAAAAUUAAAAUUAAUUAGCUUAACACACCACCUUUUUACAAACUUAACAAUGACUCGGUACGUAUUAUAAUAUAUACAAUACAAAUACUGUGUAUAAAUGCAUGCAAUAUUGGCGAAUAAUAUAAUAUAUUCACGUUAACCAACAUAUAACGCGCACACAAUAUGCUAAAAAGUUUCCCUGUGCCUGUAUUGGAACACUGGCUGGCGUACACACACACACACACUGACAAAAAACACGCUACAUCACACCCGACUAGUGUUUGACUCUCUAUUGUAAUGGAUUGUGUGUUAUAACGGGAGUGUGUUCGAAAUGUUGCCAUCAAACAAACCGAAACAUAGUACGCAGGAAAAGCGCUAGAUCUGGCAAGUGUGUGCAGGUUAGUCAUUCUCGCAUGUGUCACAAUUCGGCACGUGCGCCAUAUUUGCAUAAAAAGUUACCACAGAAAAAAAAAAUGUAUACAUAUAUAUAUACACAAUGCUGGAGUGAAAACUUAGUGCGUAACGCGUAUUUUUCUGUGGUAGACGAUAACAGUUCGGUAUUGAAUUUUGUGACCACGCCGAUUAUGAAUCAGAGGGCGAACAAUCAUAGCCUAAACUGAAUAUUAAUCGUUUUGUAGAUUGUAAACCGAGAAUUGUCAGUCGGAUCUAACGCUCAACUGUAGUCGUUUUUUGAAACGAGAGAUUUCCUAUUGAAGAAUCGCGUUGACUUUCCCGGAAAAAAAAAACCUUUUUUUUUAACGAAUUUUAAAGUCGUUUAAUCCGAGUAUAAUCAACUAAAU